AAGGACGAAAAGCGGAGGCCGUAAUGGCCAACUGUCGAUACACCGCGCUUUCGUUUCGUUCGGUUUUGAGGGAAUGAAAAAUUCCUUCAAAAGCGCCUGUGCCUGCGUCUGCUAGCAGGUUCGGGGGAGCAAGAUUCCUCGGCACAAAGCUGCAAGGAGGAUUGCUCAAAGAAGCCGCUUUGCGUCUUCUAGCAGAUUCAAGGAAGAUGGAUUCCUCGGCGCAAAGCUGCAAGGAAGCAGACUCAAGGCAGUCGCUUCGUUCAGUUUUGAAGGAAUGAGAAAUUCCUUCAGUUGCUUUGCGUCUGCGUCUACAAGUGAAUUCAGAGAAGCUGGAUUCCUCGACGCAAGACUGCAGAGAAGUGAAUUCAAUGAAGUAGUCUCGUUCCUUGAAAACUAGAUAACCGGAAACGCAAAGGAAGAAGCCGAGAGCGCUGUA
Molecule: unclassified non-coding RNA, 436 nt
Filed under: Geobacillus stearothermophilus
Lineage: Bacteria; Bacillati; Bacillota; Bacilli; Caryophanales; Anoxybacillaceae
Description: 16S-23S ribosomal RNA intergenic spacer
Source: RNAcentral